GCCCUGGUGGUACAGCAGUUAAGCACUCAGCUGCUAACUGAAAGUUGGUGGUUUGAACCCACCCUGUGGCU
This 71-nucleotide transfer RNA is filed under the name Loxodonta africana (African savanna elephant). It matches the Rfam family "tRNA". From Rfam's summary of the family: Transfer RNA (tRNA) molecules are approximately 80 nucleotides in length. Their secondary structure includes four short double-helical elements and three loops (D, anti-codon, and T loops). Lineage: Eukaryota; Metazoa; Chordata; Mammalia; Proboscidea; Elephantidae. The record is from Rfam by way of RNAcentral.